RNAcentral lists this ribosomal RNA (498 nucleotides) under uncultured bacterium. RNAcentral's name for it is "partial 16S ribosomal RNA". It matches the Rfam family "Bacterial small subunit ribosomal RNA", at positions 28 to 507 of the family's 1533-position model. The record is from RNAcentral.
GACGAACGCUGGCGGCGUGCCUAAUACAUGCAAGUCGAACGAGAGCGACCGGUGCUUGCACUGGUCAAUCUAGUGGCGAACGGGUGAGUAACACGUGGGUAACCUGCCCAUCAGAGGGGGAUAACAUCCGGAAACGGAUGCUAAAACCGCAUAGGUCUUCGAGCCGCAUGGCUUGAAGAGGAAAAGAGGCGCAAGCUUCUGCUGAUGGAUGGACCCGCGGUGCAUUAGCUAGUUGGUGAGGUAACGGCUCACCAAGGCCGUGAUGCAUAGCCGACCUGAGAGGGUGAUCGGCCACAAUUGGACUGAGACACGGCCCAAAAUCCUACGGGAGGCAGCAGGAGGGAAUCUUCCGCAAUGGGCGCAAGUCUGACCGAGCCACGCCGCGGGGGGGGAGAAGGUUUUUGGGUCGUAAAACCCUGGUGUUAGGGAAGAACCAAGGGCUGGGGAAACUGUAAGGGCCUGACGGUAUCUAAACAAAAAGGCACGGCUAACUUCGGG